Molecule: long non-coding RNA, 2943 nt
Filed under: Salmo salar (Atlantic salmon)
Lineage: Eukaryota; Metazoa; Chordata; Actinopteri; Salmoniformes; Salmonidae
Description: lncRNA (ENSSSAG00000091964.1)
Source: RNAcentral
UCUCAAUAAAGGUUUUAAUCGCGUACUAAUCAAUAAGUACAUGUGUGUUUUGUAAACAUGAUCUGGUUAUUAUAAUCCGGCAAGGCUUUAGAUUUUGUGACGGAGGACAUAUAGUACGAUCGUUUUAACACACAUAAAAAUCUGUUCAGACAAAUGGCCACCAGCGUCUCACCCCUGACUUACAGUAGCAACAGUUGUCCUUCACUCAGUGGACAAGGACUGUAAAACUCUGUAAUGCAUUUUAUCACGUGUUGUUUUGUGUAAUACCCCCACUUCCUCCCAUGUGCUGACAGAGAGAGAGGGGAGAGAGAGGACAGAGAUGAGAGAGGCAGGAUAUAGGGAGAGAGGCAGGACAGAGAAGGAGAGAGCAGGACAGAGAGGGGAGAGAGAGGACAGGGGGAGAGAGGACAGAGAGGAGAGAGGCAGGAUAGAGAGGGGAGAGAGAGGACAGAGAGGGGAGAGAGAGGACAGAGAGCGAGGGGAGAGAGAGGACAGAGAGGAGAGAGGCAGGAUAGAGAGGGGAGAGAGAGGACAGAGAGGGAGAGAGGCAGGGAUAGAGAGGGGAGAGAGAGGACAGAGAGGGAGAGAGGCAGGAUAGAGAGGGAGAGAGGCAGGAUAGAGAGGGGAGAGAGAGGAUAGAGAGGGGAGAGAGAGGAUAGAGAGGGGAGAGAGAGGACAGAGAGGGGAGAGAGAGGACAGAGAGAGAGGGGAGAGAGAGGACAGAGAUGAGAGAGGCAGGAUAUAGGGAGAGAGGCAGGACAGAGAAGGAGAGAGCAGGACAGAGAGGGGAGAGAGAGGACAGGGGGAGAGAGGACAGAGAGGAGAGAGGCAGGAUAGAGAGGGGAGAGAGAGGACAGAGAGGGGAGAGAGAGGACAGAGAGCGAGGGGAGAGAGAGGACAGAGAGGAGAGAGGCAGGGGAGAGAGAGGGGAGAGGCAGGAUAGAGAGGGGUGAGAGAACAGAGAGGGGAGAGGCAGGACAGAGAGAGAGAGAGAGGAGUAGAAUGGAGCAGAUCACAGUUGAAUGUUUAAUGACAGUGUGUUAGCUCCUGGAACGCUGCCAGCCCAACUAUGUCUGCCUGCCUGCCUGUGUGUCUACCCACCCGCCUGCAUUUCUGGGGCGGGCCAGGCUGAGUGUAGUCUAACAUGUGACUGGGGGUGUAUUUCAACAGGGUUAUGUAAUCUCCACGGAUGCCGCUCCCUCCCUCCCAGUCCCUCCCAGUCCCGUACAGCUGAGGCUGAGUAGGGCGGUCGGGAGGCAAAUGAUGCAGAAGAGGCGAACAGUAAAUGUAAUGUUCACAUGUGACAGGGGUCAUCCUGCCUGACUGGGAGAGAUUGUUACAUAAGUCUAAAUGGGCGGAUAGCUGGUGGAUAUUACACUAGUUAUUUAUGGGUGGUAGUUCCUUAUGGGUGGCCUUUCCUUAUGGGUGGUAUAGGGUGGUACUUCCUUAUUGUGGUAUAGGGUGGUAGUUCCUUAUGGGUGGUAUAGGGUGGUAGUUCUUUAUUGUGGUAUAGGGUGGUAGUUCCUUAUGGGUGGUACUUCCUUAUGGGUGGUACUUCCUUAUGGGUGGUAUAGGGUGGUACUUCCUUAUGGGUGGUACUUCCUUAUGGGUGGUCCUUCUUGUGGGUGGUAUAGGGUGGUAGUUCCUUAUGGGUGGUAGUUCCUUGUGUGUGGUAUAGGGUGGUAGUUCUUUAUGGGUGGUAGUUCCUUAUGGGUGGUAUGGGUGGUAGUUCCUUAUGGGUGGUUGUUCCUUAUGGGUGGUAUAGGGUGGUACUUCCUUAUGGGUGGUAUAGGGUGGUAGUUCCUUAUUGUGGUAUAGGGUGGUAGUUCCUUAUGGGUGGUAGUUCCUUAUGGGUGGUACUUCCUUAUGGGUGGUCCUUAUGGGUGGUAUAGGGUGGUAGUUCCUUAUGGGUGGUAUAGGGUGGUAGUUCCUUAUGGGUGGUAUGGGUGGUAGUUCCUUAUGGGUGGUAUUGGGUGGUACUUCCUUAUGGUUGGUAUAGGGUGGUACUUCCUUAUGGGUGGUACUUCCUUAUGGGUGGUAUAGGGUGGUAGUUCCUUAUUGUGGUAUAGGGUGGUAGUUCCUUAUGGGUGGUAUAGGGUGGUAGUUCCUUAUGGGUGGUACUUCCUUAUGGGUGGUCCUUCCUUAUGUGUGGUAUAGGGUUGUACUUCCUUAUGGGUGGUCCUUAUGGGUGGUCCUUCCUUGUGGGUGGUAGUUCCUUAUGGGUGGUUGUUCCUUGUGUGUGGUAUAGGGUGGUAUUCUUUAUGGGUGGUAGUUCUUUAUGGGUGGUAUAGGGUGGUUGUUAUUUAUGGGUGGUAGUUCUUUAUGGGUGGUAUAGGGUGGUAGUUCUUUGUGGGUGGUAGUUCCUUAUGUGUGGUAUAGGGUGGUAGUUCUUUAUGGGUGGCAGUUCUUUAUGGGUGGUAUAGGGUGGUUGUUCUUUAUGGGUGGUAGUUCUUUAUGGGUGGUAUAGGGUGGUUGUUCUUUAUGGGUGGUAGUUCUUUAUGGGUGGUAGUUCUUUAUGGGUGGUAUAGGGUGGUUGUUCUUUAUGGGUGGUAGUUCUUUAUGGGUGGUAUAGGGUGGUAGUUCUUUAUGGGUGGUAGUUCCUUAUGUGUGGUAUAGGGUGGUAGUUCUUUAUGGGUGGCAGUUCUUUAUGGGUGGUAUAGGGUGGUAGUUCUUUAUGGGUGGUAUAGGGUGGUAGUUCCUUAUUUAUUUAUUUAUUUAUUUUCACCUUUAUUUAACCAGGUAGGCAAGUUGAGAACAAGUUCUCAUUUCAUCAUUUCUCAUUCUCAUCAAGUUCUCUUAUGGGUGGUAGUUCCUUAUGGGUGGUAGUUCCUUAUGGGUGGUACUUCCUUAUGUGUGGUGUAGUGUGGUACUUCCUUAUGGGUGGUAGUUCCCAAUGGGUGGUAUAGGGUUGCAGUUCAUUAUGGGUGGUAUAUUUGGUGGGUG